GGAGAGAUGGCUCAGCGGUUAAGAGCACUGACUAUUCUUCCAGAAGUCCUGGGUUCAAUUCCCAUCAUCCACA
RNAcentral lists this transfer RNA (73 nucleotides) under Mus musculus (house mouse). RNAcentral describes it as "tRNA-Asn". Lineage: Eukaryota; Metazoa; Chordata; Mammalia; Rodentia; Muridae. The record is from RNAcentral.